RNAcentral lists this ribosomal RNA (492 nucleotides) under uncultured bacterium. RNAcentral describes it as "partial 16S ribosomal RNA". It matches the Rfam family "Bacterial small subunit ribosomal RNA", at positions 29 to 507 of the family's 1533-position model. The record is from RNAcentral.
AGUGAACGCUGGCGGUAGGCCUAACACAUGCAAGUCGAACGGCAGCACAGUAAGAGCUUGCUCUUACGGGUGGCGAGUGGCGGACGGGUGAGGAAUACAUCGGAAUCUACUUUUUCGUGGGGGAUAACGUAGGGAAACUUACGCUAAUACCGCAUACGACCUACGGGUGAAAGCAGGGGAUCUUCGUACCUUGCGCGAUUGAAUGAGCCGAUGUCGGAUUAGCUAGUUGGCGGGGUAAAGGCCCACCAAGGCGACGAUCCGUAGCUGGUCUGAGAGGAUGAUCAGCCACACUGGAACUGAGACAAGGUCCAGACUCCUACGGGAGGAAGCAGUGGGGAAUAUUGGACAAUGGGCGCAAGCCUGAUCCAGCCAUACCGCGUGGGUGAAGAAGGCCUUCGGGUUGUAAAGCCCUUUUGUUGGGAAAGAAAAGCAGCAGGUUAAUACCCCGCUGUUCUGACGGUACCCAAAGAAUAAGCACCGGCUAACUUCGUG